Non-coding RNA from Pelobates cultripes (western spadefoot toad), 109 nucleotides. The record is from the annotation of a GenBank genome assembly. NCBI's taxonomy places the organism in Eukaryota, Metazoa, Chordata, Amphibia, Anura, Pelobatidae.
AGUGAAUGAGUGUCUUUUAAACCAAGUUUUCCUAGAGAUGGGUGGAGCUAAAAAUCCAGAUUUCGGUAGGAAAACUUGGUUUAAAAGACACUUAUUCACUACAGGACAG